UACAGAGGGGGCAAGCGUUGUUCGGAAUUACUGGGCGUAAAGGGCGCGUAGGCGGCCUUCUAAGUCGAACGUGAAAUCCCUGGGCUCAACCCAGGAACUGCGUCCGAUACUGAAAGGCUUGAAUCCGGGAGAGGGAUGUGGAAUUCCAGGUGUAGCGGUGAAAUGCGUAGAUAUCUGGAGGAACACCGGUGGCGAAGGCGACAUCCUGGACCGGCAUUGACGCUGAGGCGCGAAAGCCAGGGGAGCAAACGGG
RNAcentral lists this ribosomal RNA (253 nucleotides) under uncultured bacterium. RNAcentral describes it as "partial 16S ribosomal RNA". It matches the Rfam family "Bacterial small subunit ribosomal RNA", at positions 524 to 776 of the family's 1533-position model. The record is from RNAcentral.